This 485-nucleotide ribosomal RNA is filed under the name uncultured Rhodoferax sp. Its description in RNAcentral is "bacterial SSU rRNA". It matches the Rfam family "Bacterial small subunit ribosomal RNA", at positions 30 to 508 of the family's 1533-position model. The record is from RNAcentral. Lineage: Bacteria; Pseudomonadati; Pseudomonadota; Betaproteobacteria; Burkholderiales; Comamonadaceae.
AUUGAACGCUGGCGGCAUGCCUUACACAUGCAAGUCGAACGGCAGCACGGGAGCAAUCCUGGUGGCGAGUGGCGAACGGGUGAGUAAUAUAUCGGAACGUGCCCAGUCGUGGGGGAUAAUGUAGCGAAAGCUACGCUAAUACCGCAUACGAUCCAUGGAUGAAAGCGGGGGAUCGCAAGACCUCGCGCGAUUGGAGCGGCCGAUAUCAGAUUAGCUAGUUGGUGGGGUAAAGGCCCACCAAGGCGACGAUCUGUAGCUGGUCUGAGAGGACGACCAGCCACACUGGGACUGAGACACGGCCCAGACUCCUACGGGAGGCAGCAGUGGGGAAUUUUGGACAAUGGACGCAAGUCUGAUCCAGCAAUGCCGCGUGCAGGACGAAGGCCUUCGGGUUGUAAACUGCUUUUGUACGGAGCGAAACGGCCUCUUUUAAUACAGGGGGCUAAUGACGGUACCGUAAGAAUAAGCACCGGCUAACUACGUGC